CAACAAUUUGUGAUGAUCGAAAUCUGC
Molecule: non-coding RNA, 27 nt
Filed under: Rattus norvegicus (Norway rat)
Lineage: Eukaryota; Metazoa; Chordata; Mammalia; Rodentia; Muridae
Source: RNAcentral